AACGAACGCUGGCGGCGCGCCUAAUACAUGCAAGUCGAGCGAGAAGACGUAGCAAUACGUUUGUAAAGCGGCGAACGGGUGAGGAAUACAUGGGUAACCUACCCUCGAGUGGGGAAGUAACUAGCCGAAAGGUUAGCUAAUACCGCGUACGCUCCUUGGACUUCGGUUCAGGGAGGAAAGCGAUACCGUGGGUAUCGCGCUCUUGGAUGGGCUCAUGUCCUAUCAGCUUGUUGGUGAGGUAACGGCUCACCAAGGCUUCGACGGGUAGCUGGUCUGAGAGGACGAUCAGCCACACUGGCACUGCGACACGGGCCAGACUCCUACGGGAGGCAGCAGUAAGGAAUAUUGCGCAAUGGGCGAAAGCCUGACGCAGCGACGCCGCGUGGGGGA
This 390-nucleotide ribosomal RNA is filed under the name uncultured bacterium. RNAcentral describes it as "bacterial SSU rRNA". It matches the Rfam family "Bacterial small subunit ribosomal RNA", at positions 29 to 408 of the family's 1533-position model. The record is from RNAcentral.